RNAcentral lists this ribosomal RNA (254 nucleotides) under uncultured bacterium. RNAcentral's name for it is "partial 16S ribosomal RNA". It matches the Rfam family "Bacterial small subunit ribosomal RNA", at positions 524 to 776 of the family's 1533-position model. The record is from RNAcentral.
UACAGAGGUCUCAAGCGUUGUUCGGAAUCACUGGGCGUAAAGGGCUCGUAGGUGGCCAACUAAGUCAGACGUGAAAUCCCUCGGCUUAACCGGGGAACUGCGUCUGAUACUGGAUGGCUUGAGUGUGGGAGAGGGAUGCGGAAUUCCAGGUGUAGCGGUGAAAUGCGUAGAUAUCUGGAGGAACACCGGUGGCGAAGGCGGCAUCCUGGACCACGACUGACGCUGAGUGAGCGAAAGCCAGGGGAGCAAACGGG